UCCGGUUUGUCACCGGCAGUCACCUUAGAGUGCCCAACUGAAUGCUGGCAACUAAGAUCAAGGGUUGCGCUCGUUGCGGGACUUAACCCAACACCUCACGGCACGAGCUGACGACAGCCAUGCAGCAUCUGUGCACGCUCUCUUGCGAGUCCCUCGGGCUUCCCCUCGGUACCACGUGCAUGUCAAGCCGAGGUAAGGUUCUGCGCGUAGCAUCGAAUUAAGCAACACGCUCCGCUGCUUGUGCGGGCCCCCGUCAAUUCCUUUGAGUUUCAGUCUUGCGACCGUACUCCCCAGGCGGCGAACUUAACGCGUUAGCUUCGAUACUGGGCACCAAGUUGUGCCCAACAUCCAGUUCGCGUCGUUUAGGGCGUGGACUAC
This 378-nucleotide unclassified non-coding RNA is filed under the name uncultured bacterium. RNAcentral describes it as "contains 16S-23S intergenic spacer region". The record is from RNAcentral.